UCACAAGCAAGACCAGAGCCCAGUGCAAAAUGAAAGUACACGAAAAGAAACGGUGAGGAGUUUCCAGACAGAGGGAGCAGAGCAUCCGAGAAGGGCCCUCGGCGCCGCGCCGUGGUGGGCUGCAGACCCCGUGGUUUCCCCGCAUUUCCUUCUGAUUGGCCAGCAGGUGACCGCCUGCCUGGUCCGUCACAGCGAAAGCUCUCGAAAGCUCUGCGAGGGCGCACACCGCGAGCUCUUGUUGGGGGGCGGUGUUAUUUAAUGAGCGGGGUGGGACGGUCUGCUGGGAAACAGCUAUGGUGAAAGAUGACACACCACAAACACACCGUAUGCAGAGUCGACAGGGAUAACUGAAAAAGGAGACCCGCGUGAGGAGGGGCAGUUUGAGGCCAAGCACAGCUGGAAACAACACGGAAAAAUAAGAAGAUGCUAUAUCAAGGUGUUAGCGGCUGAUGAGUCCAAUUUCCAGUCAAGGCAGACUGAUGCUGCCGAUGGAAUUCUCUUGCUACUUAUACUCUCUGCAUGGGAAUAUUCGUUUGUACUGCUAAGUACCAACAAAAUAUACCACUUAUAUUUCAAUUGUAAACCAGAAUAUAAUCUUCUUUAGGUGUGGGCCUAAACAAGGAGAGACUACUGAAUCUCAAAACCAGGAAGUUGGGUGCUUCAGCAAAAGUCAUAAAAGGCUGAAAGUGUGCAAGGAAGGAGAAAAUGAAAGACCAAGUAUCCCAGAAGUGCUGAAGCAGGGGGAUGCCUGAGGGUGAAUUUGUGGCUUAGGAUCGAGCAAUGCACUGCAUAUUCCUUGAGUGUCAACGAGGAUGAGGAGAAGAAUGAAUGAGGCCCAGGUGGGAAUUCAGAAAGAAGAGAGAAUGGGGCAGAGACACCACAGAGAGAGCCACGAAUACACUUUAUGGGCACAACAGUCCCUCAGGCUAAAAUACAUUGUUCUUGAAUUAAGUUCCAAUUCUCUUGUUUGAAACCUUUGUGAGAUUAAACCCAUGACAACAUUUAAACCUGGGCAGAGUGUGCUGUAGUAAAAAUCCAUGUGUUUGUCCAGAAGAGAAUAUUUUACCUAUUAAUUUAAUACUGCAAUAGCAUUUAAAGUUUAAAUAGACACUCAAAGCCAAGACCGCAAGAUAGGAGGCGGCAGAAUCUGAAGGAACAAAUGUUUGCUUUUGUUCUGAGGGCCGCCUCUCUCCCCACGGAGCCCAGCUGCCCUGUCCUGACCGUAGCCUGUGGGAGUAGACAUCUGGACCUGAAGCACAGGAUGGGAAAGCGGCUCUCUUCAAUGUGGCUUCUAAAGGUGCAAUCUCUAAGAGCUAGAGAUUCCAUCCUCUGCCCUUUUUUCCUGGCUGGACUGAAGGGUAUCAAACCCCAAACAGCUCCAGAGUGUUCCAGGGGCCCCUCAGGGCUUCGCCCCACCCCCACCCCACUCAAACCUACUGUUACUAUUUCCUGUCUCCUGUGUUCUGGUCUCCUACAUCCUUGUCGGCAAGUAUCUGAGGGAAACGUAGUGUGUUCACCACCCAGGAAUUUCCCAGAGCCAGGCUCAUCUUCUGCCACAUGACACCAGAGAAUCAACACAGCCUGGGAGGGGAUGGGGCCAUGAGGAAACGUACUGUGUAUAAAUACUAUGCAUUAUUAAAACACAGGAUGCCUUUUCUAACAACCAGUCAGGCGUGGAAGCACCUGCUUGCCGUCCUGGCUAUUUGGCAGCUUGAAGCAGGAAAAUCACUUGAGCUCAGCAGUGUGGCCAGCUUGGCUGAGAUCCAGUUAAAAAAAAAAAUAAAUAAAACUAAAUAAAUAAAUAAAAAAACUAACCAGAGUUAACUUUUAGGAAAAUUGCUGUCAGUUCUUAAAAACAAGAUAUCUAUUCAUUAGUGAAAACAGUUUUCUUCAAAAGGCUUUGGUUUAACCUGAACUAGAUAUAUUUACUUAAGAAAAAAACCAAUUCAUUCUACUCCUAUGAAAAACAAAUAGCUAGUCACACACCUUUAACUCAGCACUCAGGAGGUAGAGGCAGGCAGAACUCUCUGUGUGUUUGAGGCUACCCUGGUCUACAUAGUGAGUUUCAGGCCAGCCAGAGCUACAAAGUAACCUGUCUCAAAAAUAAAAAAACAAACAAACAUACAGAAAAGAAAAACAAAUGAAAGACAGUAUAGUUUUUGGUUUUCAAGUUGGAAGGGAAGGUUUAAAAGUGUUAAUUACCUCAGUGAAGAAGUAUAGGGCAAAACCA
Molecule: long non-coding RNA, 2230 nt
Organism: Apodemus sylvaticus (European woodmouse)
Lineage: Eukaryota; Metazoa; Chordata; Mammalia; Rodentia; Muridae
Exons: 4
Source: RefSeq, a predicted model, not a curated record